GGCCAUGAAAUCUGACCAACUGCUAGCUACUUACACGCAUGCUUACAACGCUAGUUUCCAGUGAGGAAGCACUCAGUACAGUUGAUUGGGUUUGCGAUGUGCAGGUCAGGCUCGUGGGGACGGUGAGUGGCAAGGCGGGGAGGAACACGGAUAUGUCACUUCAUCAGAUGGCAGGUAGGAGGUACAACGGCCAGCGACCGGGACGACACCAACAGCCAAAGGAAGCUUGAGGUCUGCUCCUUCUCCACCAGUAGAGAGGAGCCUCCUUUUUGGGUUCCGCGUGUCUGCUCCGAGCCUACCAGCGCCGAUGCCAUGGAAGAUUUACUCAGGCACGCGAAGCGUAAUGAGGAGCAGCUGCUGGGCGUGAUGUUGAUCGAUCCUAGCCUGUCUUCCGGCUCUCAGUGAUUUGCUCCUCGAGGUGUAUGCCGUGCUGCACCUGAAUCCUGUUGACUACGAGCAGCGGAACGCCUUGUUUGAUGUAUUCAGCAACAUGGCAACUAAAAUCUUUGGUAAGAGAUGAUAUAGUUUGCCUUUGUUACUAAUAAUGUGAUCACUGAAUAGCAUGAUGAACUUGUCGCAGAGUAGAGAAAGAUAACAUCGUCAUGAAUAUUAUCUCUCUUCCAGUUAUACUCCCUCCGUAACUUAAUAUAAGAUGCUUUUUGACACUAUGCCAGUGUCAGAAAACAUAUUAUAUGAAGUUACGGAGGGAGUAGUAAUCAGCGGUUUUACUCUUUGUAUUUGAGAUUUCUCAAAAACUCUCGUUACUUAUGUUAUCUAUCUACUUACGGAGGGAGUAGUAAAACUAAUAAGAAGAAUACCAUUCUUAAUA
Long non-coding RNA from Triticum aestivum (bread wheat), 829 nucleotides. RefSeq lists it as uncharacterized. The transcript has 3 exons. The record is from RefSeq and is a predicted model, not a curated record. Lineage: Eukaryota; Viridiplantae; Streptophyta; Magnoliopsida; Poales; Poaceae.